RNAcentral lists this ribosomal RNA (460 nucleotides) under uncultured bacterium. Its description in RNAcentral is "partial 16S ribosomal RNA". It matches the Rfam family "Bacterial small subunit ribosomal RNA", at positions 338 to 795 of the family's 1533-position model. The record is from RNAcentral.
CCUACGGGUGGCAGCAGUGAGGAAUAUUGGUCAAUGGGCGCGAGCCCGAACCAGCCAAGUAGCGUGAAGGAUGACUGCCCUACGGGUUGUAAACUUCUUUUAUAAAGGAAUAAAGUGAGGCACGUGUGCCUUUUUGUAUGUACUUUAUGAAUAAGGAUCGGCUAACUCCGUGCCAGCAGCCGCGGUAAUACGGAGGAUCCGAGCGUUAUCCGGAUUUAUUGGGUUUAAAGGGUGCGUAGGCGGCCUUUUAAGUCAGCGGUGAAAGUCUGUGGCUCAACCAUAGAAUUGCCGUUGAAACUGGGGGGCUUGAGUGUGUUUGAGGCAGGCGGAAUGCGUGGUGUAGCGGUGAAAUGCGUAGAUAUCACGCAGAACCCCGAUUGCGAAGGCAGCAUACCGGCGGCGAUCUGACGCUGAGGCACGAAAGCGUGGGUAUCGAACAGGAUUAGAUACCCUGGUAGUC